CGCGGAGUAGAGCAGUUCGGUAGCUCGUCGGGCUCAUAACCCGAAGGUCACAGGUUCAAAUCCUGUCUCCGCAACCA
RNAcentral lists this transfer RNA (77 nucleotides) under Campylobacterota bacterium. RNAcentral describes it as "Epsilonproteobacteria bacterium (hydrothermal vent metagenome) tRNA-Met". It matches the Rfam family "tRNA". From Rfam's summary of the family: Transfer RNA (tRNA) molecules are approximately 80 nucleotides in length. Their secondary structure includes four short double-helical elements and three loops (D, anti-codon, and T loops). The record is from RNAcentral. Lineage: Bacteria; Pseudomonadati; Campylobacterota.